CUUCGGUGGGGAUUAGUGGCGAACGGGUGAGUAACACGUGGGCAAUCUGCCCUGCACUCUGGGACAAGCCCUGGAAACGGGGUCUAAUACCGGAUAUUGACCUUCACGGGCAUCUGUGAGGUUCGAAAGCUCCGGCGGUGCAGGAUGAGCCCGCGGCCUAUCAGCUUGUUGGUGAGGUAAUGGCUCACCAAGGCGACGACGGGUAGCCGGCCUGAGAGGGCGACCGGCCACACUGGGACUGAGACACGGCCCAGACUCCUACGGGAGGCAGCAGUGGGGAAUAUUGCACAAUGGGCGAAAGCCUGAUGCAGCGACGCCGCGUGAGGGAUGACGGCCUUCGGGUUGUAAACCUCUUUCAGCAGGGAAGAAGCGAAAGUGACGGUACCUGCAGAAGAAGCGCCGGCUAACUACGUGCCAGCAGCCGCGGUAAUACGUAGGGCGCAAGCGUUGUCCGGAAUUAUUGGGCGUAAAGAGCUCGUAGGCGGCUUGUCACGUCGGUUGUGAAAGCCCGGGGCUUAACCCCGGGUCUGCAGUCGAUACGGGCAGGCUAGAGUUCGGUAGGGGAGAUCGGAAUUCCUGGUGUAGCGGUGAAAUGCGCAGAUAUCAGGAGGAACACCGGUGGCGAAGGCGGAUCUCUGGGCCGAUACUGACGCUGAGGAGCGAAAGCGUGGGGAGCGAACAGGAUUAGAUACCCUGGUAGUCCACGCCGUAAACGGUGGGCACUAGGUGUGGGCAACAUUCCACGUUGUCCGUGCCGCAGCUAACGCAUUAAGUGCCCCGCCUGGGGAGUACGGCCGCAAGGCUAAAACUCAAAGGAAUUGAC
Molecule: ribosomal RNA, 823 nt
Filed under: Streptomyces sp.
Lineage: Bacteria; Bacillati; Actinomycetota; Actinomycetes; Kitasatosporales; Streptomycetaceae
Description: bacterial SSU rRNA
Rfam family: Bacterial small subunit ribosomal RNA
Source: RNAcentral